AGAGUAUAGAUCUUAUUCUAAAUAGUUUAAAGAAUUUUCUAACCAAAAUUCAAUUGAUUUGGAUAGCUUUACACCGUUAAACGAGAAAACGUCUCAUAUCUACCAUUAAAAUUACAAAUUUUGAAACCCUUUGAUCAAUAGGUCAAUAAUGUCGAAAAGAUUUGAAAUUUGGUUUCUAGAUACUUCAAGUGAUAUAGAUUAUGUUCAACGGUGCCGAUUGUCAAUUUAAAGGCUCCAUCAUCGAAAACAAAUGGGUGGCAACGGAGCCGGUUUGCUACCGAUAGCAUUCCAGCUCAACUAUAUAUAUAUAUAUAUAUAUAAAGAGAGAGAGAGAGAGAGAGAGAGAGAGAGUAGAGCUACUAUGCUAUCGGAAGUAUAGAGGAUCCGGUGCUUCCGAUUUUUUGGCCCUUAGAUCAACUCCUUUAAUCAUUUAUAGCCUUUGAAUUAAUACUAUUAACCUAUGGGGCCACUCAACCCUAGGGGUACUACACAACCCUGGGGGGACUGCAAUCAUCCCAACCGUGUAAUUUUUGAUCCAAUUGUCAAAAAGUUGAAAGUACCAGAUUCUCUAUCCUUCUGAUAGCAUAAUAGCUCUACACUAUAUAUAUAUAGUUGAGCUAGAAUACUCUCAAAAGCACCAAUGAGGUGGUGCUUUUGAGUUUUUAACCAUUGGAUGGAGGAAUGUAAGGUUGUGAUGAUGGUGGUAGGUGGUGGUAGAUGGAAUAGUGUUUGAUCCAAUGGCUGUUAGUAAUCAAGAAGUAGAUCCAAGGGUUAGAAAUCUAAAAGCACCAAUGGGGUGAUACUUUUAAAAGUAUUCUAGCUCAAUUCUAUAUAUAUAUAUAUAUAUAUAUAUAUAUAUAUAUAUAUAUAGUCUAAAUAGGAUGCUUCUAAUACCACCAAGCGUUUGGUGCUACUAAAUUUUUCGCCGUUAAAUUUAUCACUUUGAUCAUUUUAUUCGUUAGAUUAUGCUAUUCAAUCAAACCACUAACUUAAUCCCAGGGAAUUACUAACAUCAUAGCCACACGUCCUUUCAAACAAAAGCCGAAAUAGCACCAAUGACUUCGUAUACUAUAAGAAGCAUUUCAGCCUAAUUAUUUAUAUUUAUAGAGAGUGCAGCUAUGAUACUUGUAAAAGCACCAAGCACUUGGUGCUUGUAAGUUUUUUACCGUUAGAUCUACUCUUCUGAUCAUUUUCAACCAUUAGAUUAUACUAUUCAACCAACUACCCACUCAACCCUACGGGGCUCACAUCAUCUUAACCGCAUAUCUCUUAUUUCAAUGGCUAAAAAUCUAUAAGUACCAAUAACUUGAUACUUUUAAAAGUAUAGAAGCUCAAUUAUAUUUAAAUAUAUAUAUAUAUAUAUAGAGUUGAGCUAGAAUACUAUCGGUAGCAAAUGGACUCCGUUGCCACCCAUUUGUUUUUAAUGAUGGAGCCUCCAAAUCGAUGAUCGACACCGUUGAAUAUGAUCUAUAUCACUUGAAGUAUCUAGAAAUCAAAUUUUAUACUUUUCUGAUAUUGUUCUCUUGUCCAUCAAGUGGGCGUAAAAAUGAACGGCUGAAAAUGAAUAUCCUCUAAAAGGUGAUGAUAGGAAUUUUGUAAUUAAGAUCGAGAGUAUAGAUCUUAUUCUAAAUAGUUUAAAGAAUUUUCUAACCAAAAUUCAAUUGAUUUGGAUAGCUUUACACCGUUAAACGAGAAAACGUCUCAUAUCUACCAUUAAAAUUACAAAUUUUGAAACCCUUUGAUCAAUAGGUCAAUAAUGUCGAAAAGAUUUGAAAUUUGGUUUCUAGAUACUUCAAGUGAUAUAGAUUAUGUUCAACGGUGCCGAUUGUCAAUUUAAAGGCUCCAUCAUCGAAAACAAAUGGGUGGCAACGGAGCCGGUUUGCUACCGAUAGCAU
RNAcentral lists this long non-coding RNA (1895 nucleotides) under Ananas comosus (pineapple). Its description in RNAcentral is "long non-coding RNA (ACOM_LNC012495)". Lineage: Eukaryota; Viridiplantae; Streptophyta; Magnoliopsida; Poales; Bromeliaceae. The record is from RNAcentral.